Molecule: long non-coding RNA, 762 nt
Filed under: Sorghum bicolor (sorghum)
Lineage: Eukaryota; Viridiplantae; Streptophyta; Magnoliopsida; Poales; Poaceae
Description: long non-coding RNA (SBIC_LNC003003)
Source: RNAcentral
GACGAGCAAUGAUUUCACCAUCUACUACCUGGAGUGGUCGGGACCUUUUUUUAGACGAACAAUGAUUUUCGUGGCGCGCAACAUGUUAGUGGGAAGUAAAUAAUAAACUAGACAUGUGAUGAAAUUAUUGGUUUGAAAUAACUAUAUAUUAAAUUUUAUGAAAUAAGUAAAUAUAAUUCCAUUUAAAUCUUCCCAAAUGAAAACCCCAAAAACAAAAACCCAAAUUUCAAUAAACUGUUUCCAAAAAUAAAACAAAUUAAAACCCAAAAAAAACCCAGAGCAGCUCGCACCCGCCAUGGCGCCAUUUCCUCUAAAAAAUGGCGCCAAAAAAAUUCGGCCGCCAAAAAAUUUCCCAUCCUCAGUCCACCUCCCCAUCUAUCUCCACCUCUCUCGCCCCAUUUCCCAUCUCCUCUUCCACUUCAGACGCCCCAUUCCCCUCUAUCGCCCCACACAAACCUAGCCGCCGCCUCCGCCGGGGACCAAGGAACCAGGCGCACAAACUCCGACGCCAACGACGACAUUCGCCGCCUUGCCCUGUCUCUCGUCCACCUCCCUCUCUCUGUCUCGACCCCACGAAACCCUAGACGCCGUGCUUGGAUCUCCACCAACGACUUCCAACGCCGACGUGAUCUGCUCUCCAAGAUUCUGCUGAUCUCCAACGACGACGACGAUGGUGCAGACAAGGGGACAAGGUAGGAAAGCACCGACAACUGAAGGUAAGCAAAAUUUCUCCAAGAACUCUGUACUGGUUCCAUUUUCAUG